GUGACGAAGCGACGCCGCGUGAGCGAAGAAGGCCCUAGGGUUGUAAAGCUCUGUCGAGGGUUAUGAAAUAUAAAAAGGUUAAUACCCUUUUUAUUUGACAAAGGCCCCAAAGGAAGUCACGGCUAACUCUGUGCCAGCAGCCGCGGUAAUACAGAGGUGGCAAGCGUUGUUCGGUAUUAUUGGGCGUAAAGAGCACGUAGGUGGUUUUGUAAGUCAGGUGUGAAAGCCUUCUGUUCAAAGGAAGAACGGCAUCUGAAACUGUAGAUCUUGAGUGUAGGAGGGGAGAGUGGAACUUCUGGUGGAGCGGUGAAAUGCGUAGAUAUCAGAAGGAACGUCGGCGGCGAAAGCGACUCUCUGGCCUAUUACUGACACUGAGGUGCGAAAGUUAGGGGAGCAAACGGGAUUAGAUACCCCGGUAGUCCUAACCGUAAACGAU
Molecule: ribosomal RNA, 436 nt
Filed under: uncultured Planctomycetota bacterium
Lineage: Bacteria; Pseudomonadati; Planctomycetota
Description: bacterial SSU rRNA
Rfam family: Bacterial small subunit ribosomal RNA
Source: RNAcentral